AGUGCCACAGAAAAAAUACCGCCUCGACUCAGUCGAGGUAAGGGUGAAAAGGCGAGGUAAGAGCUCACCGCUUCGACAGUAAUGUCGGAGGUCCCGUUAAGGGAUUCCGCUUUUGCGGAACAAGGCAAACCACACCCGAAGCAAGGUCAAGUAUAAAGGUCGUUUCUCUUUUGAGAAGCAGAGUUGUUCGCUCGAAUGAUUCCUGAUUGGAAUCGCGAUCUUUGGGUAGACCGCUGGAUCCGAACAGUAAUGUUCGGGCAAGAUAAAUAAUUGCCACCCCAAUAAACAUUUUGGGGAGUACAGAAUUCGGCUUACAGGUUUGUUAUUAUC
This 330-nucleotide RNase P RNA is filed under the name Ignavibacteria bacterium. RNAcentral describes it as "partial RNase P RNA component class A". It matches the Rfam family "Bacterial RNase P class A", at positions 108 to 367 of the family's 367-position model. Rfam says of the family: Ribonuclease P (RNase P) is a ubiquitous endoribonuclease, found in archaea, bacteria and eukarya as well as chloroplasts and mitochondria. Its best characterised activity is the generation of mature 5'-ends of tRNAs by cleaving the 5'-leader elements of precursor-tRNAs. Lineage: Bacteria; Pseudomonadati; Ignavibacteriota; Ignavibacteria. The record is from RNAcentral.